Molecule: non-coding RNA, 4614 nt
Organism: Vicugna pacos (alpaca)
Lineage: Eukaryota; Metazoa; Chordata; Mammalia; Artiodactyla; Camelidae
Source: RefSeq, a predicted model, not a curated record
CCAGGAACUUGGUCCACAUAGUGUAAUGCAGGUGUAUUUUGGACAGCACAUUUGAUCCAUCAUUUGUACAAAUUAGUAAUCUGGGUUUUAGUACACGGAUUUAAAAGGCACCAGUACGUCAGUGGUUUAUGUGCACUUGGUAAGUUCCUGGAAGGACAUAGUGCUUCUAUAUUAGAAAUGUAAGUUUGAGAAUGGUGUUACUGUCUCCUAACAAGUUCUCUGGGGCACCUUUAUUUUUAUUACUAUUAUUGUUGAUACAUGAUUAUGAUCAGAAGGCUUUUUCCCCUCGACUUUUUCCCGCAAAGACUGUCUAGACAAGUAACACCUUGCAUCUCCUGACACCUUCCGUGGUGCUGCAUGUUCCUGCCCGUGGUCUGCUGUUGAUGGGGGUUCAUUCCAUUCGGUGGGUCCUGCCACAUCAGGGUCAGCCACCUGCACUGGCUUGCAGGUGUGACUGACAACAGCCCUUAGCCAUAGAGUUCUUUCCUGGUUUAUUCCUGCAAGGUUGUUCUAACCAAAAUACUGCAAAACGUGGUUUGUUUCGUAGCAAAGUGUCCGUCUGUCACUUUGAGUGAGCCCUGGCAUCUUGGAAGCUAGGAGAAGGGCAGUGUGUGAGAUCAGUUUUGUGGAGAUUGAAAAUCUUACUUAGAACUUAGGCAGAAAGCUCAGUGCGUUCACUGUCAAACAGCAGAGUUCUGUGUGUCCUCCGUGGCUGUUCGUGCUGUUAGAGGUUCUGUGGUUUCAGGGCCACGCGGUGCGUGGUUCGCGUGCUGCCUGUUGUCGCCUGGAGGAAGGCUGUGCCUUGUGCUGGGGGACAGGAACCUUGCGCACCAUGUAAAUCCAGCACCCCCGUUCUGUGCAGUGUGCCCAGUGCCUCACUGAGGGCAGCCAGAGGCCAGCUUCUCCAUUCAGUGAGUACCCAAGUCUUAGAUGUUUCUCCUGUGCUUGGAACAAGUGUCGCCUGGCACCUGUUCUCCUAGUGGCUCUGGUAAGAGUCCCUGCAUAUGAAUCUCAAGGCCGAGCCCAGCUCCCCAAGCCCAAGUGGCCACGUGUGGCCCAGAGAGUGCGUGUACCCAGUGUGCACUGCGUGAACAGGGAGGGCCCGGUGACUUCAGACUAAAAGCAGAGUCAUUUGGAGGUACCCUGAGGGUUGGGUCAGCUGAAACAUUUCUCGCAUUGAUGACUUGCAUUGUGGUUUUUCUGCGAGUACCUUUAGCAGCUUUGAAUUCCACGUGAUCUGCCACUCCGGAUGGAUGUGACAUGCGAUGACUGGUACCAUUAUUUUGAUCAUUGUUGCAUUUAUUGCCUUUAGGGUUGAAGGAAGGGGAAGGGGUUUUGUUUUUCCAUUUUUUUCCCGUUGUUUUUUCUUUCGGUGGCUUCAACCACACUUCCUAACGCCGUGACUAACUGCUCCCUAGCCGAGUACUUCAGGCUGCGUUUAGGCUCAUGUUGCAGAUCUGCAUGCGUUGCUUGCGUUUUCCUGGUAUCUGAAUGUUGGUUCCUUGUUCUAGGAAUACAACAUCAAUUUCCAAAAUUACCAUGGGACUUGUGACAACACAAGACAUGAAUCUGUGUAUAAAAUGUAUUGGCCUUUCUCAUUGACCUGCUAUAGUAUUAUCGUGUCGUGUGUGUGCGUGUGUGAAGUCCGGCUGCCACGUAAAGCUUCAAAGGAAAACUAAAAGCAGACCAUCCUUUUUUGCAUGCCCUAUUCUAAGUAGAAUGUUCAAUGUAACUAACUAAAACUGCAUGUUAAAUAUAUUUAGGUUUUUUGUUUUCUAUCUUUGUUUUUUAUUUGUUUUCAGUUUCUGUAUAUUUGCUUACUGUGCUGUUUUAGUGGUUGUAGGGUAAAAAUGCACUGGUGAAGCAAAUGUAGUGCCAACAGAAGGCGGUUUUUCCAGUUGUAUAUGUCAUGCAGCAUUUGAAGGGACUGUGCGUUCUUGAAACAAUCGCAGUUGCUUCUAAACCAGGUUUCAUUUCUGUUGUUUUAUGUGCCAAACCCCGAAGUGCAUUGGGCUCGACUCUCUGAACGCUGCGGACCCAUUAGAAGACUGUUUUUGAUUGUCACAAAUUGUAGUGCCUGAAAACAUUCUUCAGCUGAUUGUCUUAAAAAAAAAAAAAAAGAAAGUUCUCCAAAGACAAAACAGGAACAAUUAUUAUAACAGAAAAUAAUUACAGUCAAAAUGUCUGUGGUUCCUUGGAAAUGCUGCGCUCUCUGUAUUCUCCAUCAUCAGUGCAGUUCGAACGAAUGUGUAUAGUUCAGAGGUCUUCGUGUUUGCAUUUUAAAAUUAGGUAAAUGACCUCAUCUUUCAAGCUUGAAUUCAUUUUUAAUUUUAAUUUUAUUUUAUACGAUGUGUAGACAGUUCCCUGUUCUCUGCAUUUAGAAGUAUAAACAAUAUAAAUCUGUUAAUUCUGUAAGUAAUUUUUAUAAUUAUGAUGUAACUCUAUCCUAUCCUUAAAACAUUUAAAAUAAACCCUUUAUGUGCAACUUUUGCCUGUAAAUUUUGUGCUUAUGAGCAAAAUGUGAUGUGUUGUUAAACUUCUGAGAGUUUUUAAAAGUUUUACUUGAAAAUUUUAAGUAAACUUUCCCCCCUUUUCACUACAUGUAAAUGUCAGAUUUACAUAGAAACAGAAGGAAACAAUUUUUAUUUGAAUGAUAGUGAAUAAUACCUGAAAAGGGGGCAGUAAUAAAUAACCCCGAUAUAUUAUGUAGUCCAAAAUAUUAAAGUUUGUGCUUAUCCAUUAAUGAGAAAUUUUAAUUUAUCAUAAAAUUAUAAACUUAAAAUAAUUGUUUGCGUUAAACAAUGUAUAUUUUAUACUUUCACAUCUAUUCAUACUUUAUAUAUUGCUUUUUAUUAAUACUUAAAUACCAAUUAGUGAAAUUCUAUAGUGAAGAAUCUCCGUAUUUCAAUGUUAAGGACAAAGAAGUGUGGGUCAUACUGUGAACUGUGUGUGCUCUAGGUUUUAUCUUCCUGAGUGGUUUUCUCGGUGAGAGAAAAAGAGUUCAGGCUGUGCCUGCCUUUGACUAGGUUCCUUUUUCUUGUUUCCCUGUUUGGCCCGAGGAUACCAUGGUUGAAGCUAGGGUGGGACAUGUCGCUGUUCCUGUUUGCCAGAGUGGCCACAGGAGGCUAGUCUCCGCAUGGCAGCUGCGGUGGCCUCUGCCAGGCAGUGGCCGUGGGGAUGCAGGGCCACUUCUCAGGCUCUGGUGGGAGGAACCAGCAGACAGGUGUGGGGAGGAGAUGAACGCACCCGGAAGCACAGGUGUUCAACCGGGGCUAGAUCCUACAGUCUUCUCCCGAAGGUAAAUCACUCGUCGUGGUAUCGAAGGUACAACUCAGGAAGCAUUUUCCACAAAAAAAUAACAAAGCAAGUUUAGUGUAAAGUUGGCGGUUCCAGACUGCUGUUGUAACCUGAAGAACCGAGUCUGCAGCUGUCGUCGGUGUUGGAGAGCUGCAGGGAUUGGCUUGCUGUCCACCGUUUGUUUUCCUGGCACAGCCAUAGCUCUGUGAUAAUACAUGCGUUUGACACUAGUGAAACACGGGAAAAGGUUUAAUAAGUACCUUGCCGAGCACUUUCCACCCAAUAUUUUAUUUAAUUCUUAAUCCUGUGUGGAAAGCACGACAUUUCUCCCCAUUGUGCAGUUGAAGAAGGGGGUGAGGGUCAAGUACCUGUUCCAGGAUUACAGAGACCAUGAGGACUCAGGCCCUCAGUGCUGUGCCUCGGCUCCCAGCUGCCGUGGUAACGCCUCCGAAUUAAAUUACUUCAGUGAAGUGAUUUGAUUUGAAUAGUCUGUAGUCUAAUUUCUGUGGAUAAUUUUUUAUAAUCUUAUUUCAUAAGUUGAUGACAAAAAGUGUUUUCUUAUUUCCAAAUUGCAUAAUAAAAAGUUUAAUAUUAAGUCACUGGAAUAUAGGAAUCAAUGUCUCUUUAUAGUGAGAAUUACAACCCAAAGUUUUCUUUUUUCCCCUCGAAAAAUCUUUUAUUUUGAAGAGAAAUUAUACUGGAAAAAUUUGAUUUUCACAAGACUGUAGAUACUAUUUUGUAUUCUAAAGACACUUUAAACAUGUUAUUAAGUUAAUAAUUCUUACAAAACCUGGACUUUUUAUACCCAUAGUACAGUCUCCUACCUAAUUUUUACCGUAAUUAACUUGUCCUUUGUCAUAUGUAUUUGUAGGUUUUUAGGCUGCUGAGUUUCAGAGAAGUAGGUAAGUCUAAACUUUCUCCAGACAGUCUCCAUCUGCCUUUAUAUUGGCCUUAAAACUCUUACUAGGUUUGGUAACUGGGUGGCAGACGAUCUGGAGAUACUGUGUUGGCACGUAAUUUUGCCUAAAAAUAACAUUGCAUUCUUCUUGAUUUUCCCGUGAGGGCGCUGGACUAGGUGGCACAUUGAUCCGUCAGCUCUGGUGAUGGUGACACAGAAGUGUGGGCCCUUUCCAUGCAUUUCUUUUUUACGUUGGCCGUGAACGAUAGAUAAUGAUGUGAAAAGGACAGAAGGAAGGCCAUUUAAAAACCUCGAUGUUACCAUGAAGAGUUAACAACUGGAGACUGAAAUCCAGCUGAAAUGUCUGAAUUGUCUUCAACUGUGGAUUGUGCAGGUAGCUUUAAUACUCUUGCCUUGAA